UUAAACCUUAAAGAUAAAUUUUGGGACAUAAAUUGAAAGGUGGUAUACUUAAAUGUAAUAAACACUAACCUUAAACAUGAGUGAUUAUAAGGUUUGCUAUAUGGGAUGUAUAUGUAAAAAUCCCUUAAUUUUAUAUAUUGCCAAAUCAGCAUUCCAUCACAAGCCCAAUCCAAUAUUUUUAUAGCAAAUAAACUGUUGAUAUAAGGGAAUCUAUUGUUAUCUAGACAUACUUGCCUAUGGACAAUCGAUACCACAAUUGCUACUGGAGAUUUUAGCUCAUUGUACGAAUUUUCUUAAACAUAUUUGAAAACAAAUUUAACUACAGCUAACAUGAACUUCCAAUUAAUCGAAACUGGUGCUCAACAACCAAACAAAUAUACACCUAAUUUUCAGCUAAACACAGUCAUACUCGGCAGUUUAUCCGUUCACCUAGUGCAAUAUAAACAAAUUCCAGUCUAACAGUCUAGUUCGAAUGAUAAAAUUCCAAACAUUUUAAGCAAUCCUAAUUAACAGUCCACUUUUCAAGCAGUUCACAUCAUUUGAAUAUAGUUCUAACUAGACAAGUGUCUAAUACAACCCCAAACAAAUUAAACUAAGCAAUUAGGCAUCAACUGAUUGACUACAAUUACAGUGACUAGCUAUUAAACAAGGAAUGCAUCAAAAGAGGCUUGAUCCAUACUUCAUUUCAUUUCAAAAUGCCUGGAGAGUACAAAAUGUAUACCUGGAGAUUGCAAAGAAAAAGAAAAAGAAGAGUCAGCAGUAGCAAACCACAGGCACAGCUGAUAUCACCCAUAAGCAAUUUCAAACGAGUUUCAACAAGUAAUUUAGCACCAAAUCCAACAUGAGGCCAGCCGAAAUAACUUUGAACAACACUAAAUUUGUUCAAAAAAUGCAACAGAACAAUCCAAUAGGCCAAAACUCAACCAAAAUCAUCCAGUAAACCUAAAAACUCCAUUAAAUAAAACUGGACAGCAAUGGAACAGUGAUAUUUCUUUGAUUUUUCUAUUGUCUUUUGCUGUUUUUGGUUUUUUUUCCAGAAAAACUAAGAACUAGAAGAAGAUUGAUCUGGAAUUUGAAUUUUUCAGAUCUGAAAACCCCAAGAGUAUUUUUUGGGGGAAUUUGGGUUGCCAAAAACUUGUUAAAGAAAGCAUUAGAGGUACCUUUUAUAGGUUAAAUUGAGGGCAGCCCUGAAAAUUCUUAUUUACCCUAUUGGUCCCUCUUUAUUUCCAUACUAGUCCUCAUAUUUCUGACUUGAUACUCAAGUAAGAGCACUACAAUUACUGAAAUUACACCAAUGUCCUACUCUGUAAGGUUCUAGGGUGUUCUUUUAGCUACAAAAUACCUUUACUACCCUUGAACCUUCCUUAUAAUUACUAUUCCUCAAUACACUACCCUUUUCCAUCCCCAAAUUACCCUUUAAACAACUGAAAAUUACAGACCUCAAAUAACUGACCCAACCCCCUUAACCCCUGUUAAAAACUAACUAAAGUUAUACAAGAACUACACAGCUAUAUCCAAACUUGAACCUAAUUAACUUUGCAAUAAUCAAAAUCAAUUAACUUAUUGAAUUACCCACUAAUAAAUCAAAUCAUCAACUGAAUAUAACUCAGUUUAUUUCCAGAAGGACCAAAUAAGCAAAAAUCAACAAGAACAAAUCCUAAUUUUUUCUGGAUUAAUGGAAAUUUAAUUUGGAUACUAGUUAAGAACUUAUAAAAAUAGGUCAAUUAACUGCCAUUAAGGCUUCAUCAACAGUCAAAGAAACAAAAGAAACCAAAUUAACUACUAUAAAACUAAACAAGAUCAAAUCAAUAAGAAAUGAAAAUGACCAUGACAUGUAAUCACCCAUGCAAUGAAAUACAAUCAAUUGGACUCAAUAAAACAAAUGAAAUAAUUGCAAAUUGAAGACGAGAAAUGAGAAGAACUACUGAAGUUUGUUCUUUAAGCCAAAUGACUCCGGAUUGAGUUUCGAUUAAUGUUACAGGUUUAUUUUGGUUAAAAUAAACCAAUAACAUUAAUCAAAAACCAUCCAACUUGCACACCCUCGAGACGGUUCAUACCAGAUUUGAAAUUCUUGCAGGCCUGGGAAGAUUCGAGAACUUUUGGUUUGAGAUUCCGGAUAAGGGAGCCCUAGGGACUAUGGGGUGUGAAUUUGAGCCGGUUUGGAUGAAUUUGAAUUUUGACCGAGGUUUUUUUCAAAUUAAUAUUGGAGCAAUAGGGUGAUUGUUCGAAGGAAACCAAGGGUGGAUAUGAAAUGAGGAGAGGAAGGAGAAUAGAUGGUGUGAAUUUGGGAUUGAACGAAGGCAGCGACGCCGGGUUUCCAAGCGGUGGAAAUGGUGGCGGUAGGGAUUAGGGUUUUGAGAGGAUGGGGGUGUGAAAGAGAUGAG
RNAcentral lists this long non-coding RNA (2384 nucleotides) under Nicotiana benthamiana. RNAcentral describes it as "long non-coding RNA (NBEN_LNC026701)". The record is from RNAcentral. Lineage: Eukaryota; Viridiplantae; Streptophyta; Magnoliopsida; Solanales; Solanaceae.